ACACUGCAUGCUUAGUACGGCGAGUGAGCGGCAAAAGCUCAAAUUUGAAAGCUAGCACCUUCGGUGUUCGCGUUGUAAUUUGAAGAUAGUUUCCUUGAGUAGUCCUUUAUCUAUGUUCCUUGGAACAGGACGUCAUAGAGGGUGAGAACCCCGUAUGAUUUUGGAUACUACUCUUUGUGGGAUUCUAUCGAAGAGUCGAGUUGUUUGGGAAUGCAGCUCUAAGUGGGUGGUAAAUUCCAUCUAAAGCUAAAUAUUGGCGAGAGACCGAUAGCGAACAAGUACAGUGAUGGAAAGAUGAAAAGAACUCUGAAGAGAGAGUGAAAAAGUACGUGAAAUUGCUGAAAGGGAAGGGCUUGAGGUCAGACUUGGUGUUUAAUGAUUAUCAGUUCUUCUUGGACUGUGCACUCGUUUUUCACCGGGCCAAUAUCAGUUUUAGCGGUAGAGUACCCCUUGAAAUGUGGCUUCCUUCGGGGAGUGUUAUAGUCUUGGGGAGAUCUACUUGCUGGGACUGAGGACUGCGCUUCGGCAAGGAUAUUGGCGUAAUGACCUUAAGCCGCCCGUCUUGAACA
This 569-nucleotide ribosomal RNA is filed under the name Saccharomycopsis fibuligera. RNAcentral describes it as "eukaryotic LSU rRNA". It matches the Rfam family "Eukaryotic large subunit ribosomal RNA", at positions 68 to 661 of the family's 3401-position model. Lineage: Eukaryota; Fungi; Ascomycota; Saccharomycetes; Ascoideales; Saccharomycopsidaceae. The record is from RNAcentral.